UCGCCAGACUCCUACGGGAGGCAGCAGUGGGGGAUAUUGCACAAUGGGGGGAACCCUGAUGCAGCGACGCCGCGUGGGUGAAGAAGCGCCUCGGCGCGUAAAGCCCUGUCAGCAGGGAAGAAAAUGACGGUACCUGAAGAAGAAGCCCCGGCUAACUACGUGCCAGCAGCCGCGGUAAUACGUAGGGGGCAAGCGUUAUCCGGAUUCACUGGGUGUAAAGGGAGCGUAGACGGCCAUGCAAGCCAGGGGUGAAAGCCCGGGGCCCAACCCCGGGACUGCCCUUGGAACUGUGCGGCUAGAGUGCGGGAGGGGCAGGCGGAAUUCCUGGUGUAGCGGUGAAAUGCGUAGAUAUCAGGAGGAACACCGGCGGCGAAGGCGGCCUGCUGGACCGUAACUGACGUUGAGGCUCGAAAGCGUGGGGAGCAAACAGGAUUAGAUACCCUCGUAAA
This 449-nucleotide ribosomal RNA is filed under the name uncultured bacterium. RNAcentral's name for it is "partial 16S ribosomal RNA". It matches the Rfam family "Bacterial small subunit ribosomal RNA", at positions 328 to 794 of the family's 1533-position model. The record is from RNAcentral.